Long non-coding RNA from Oncorhynchus tshawytscha (Chinook salmon), 2389 nucleotides. The record is from Ensembl. Lineage: Eukaryota; Metazoa; Chordata; Actinopteri; Salmoniformes; Salmonidae.
CACAGAAAGGCUGAAUUUAUUCAUUUUUAUUGUAGAUAAAUGACAUUGCUGCUCCCAGAAACAAGCAGAGAUCCAGUAACAUACUAACAACAUUUGACAAUAAUAAACCGUUAUCCAACAACUCCAGGAUGAUGAUUUAACAUGCUGCGGGACAGAAAAUAAAAAUCUUUACAAAAAUAUGUUACACAAAGAAUACAAUACUACCUUACAUUGAUAAAAGCAUUUUAAAUAUAUUAUUUUUAGUAAUCAAGUCAAUAAUUUGAAUGCACUUUUCAAUGUAAAUGAACAAUGCCUUUAGGACUGUUCACUAUCUUACAUUAACAAAAUGUUUGUCAAACCAACAGACUACAUUUCCCAUAACCCUCUCUGUCCUCACAUACAUUAGAAAUGUCUUCUUACCGAGUCAGAUAAAUGAAACGGGAAUAAGUUAUACAUUUACAGUUUUUUUACACAAAAAUUGGCAUAUAUUUUUCCUCGAUAAAGAGUAGAAAUAUGUCUUUGAGGUGAUGUUUUUAUUGAUAAGUGAGUAAAACAUGCCAGAAGUCUAUUCUACAGCUGGUCUUCUAGACUGAGUGAACAGUGAUCAGAUCAGAGCUUCUGUGGGUAAACCUCUCUACUGGUCAGGAAGGAUACAGAGAACUCUUCUCUGUCGGACACAAUCUAGUUGAGCUCAACGUUGGACAUCAUGUCUGUAUGCCAAACGGCUCCCUAUAUAGACCACUACUAUGGGCCCUAAUCCAAAGUACGGUACUAAAUAGGGAAUAGGGAGCAGUUUGGGACACAGGCCAUUAUGUUGCUGUAAGAACACCCAGCUAAGCUGAUCCAUUAUUGACUUGGACUAAAGAACAUGGGUAACGCUCUUUCGUUUUUUACCCCCCCCCCCCGAAUCCCACAUUUAAUUUCAAAUGCAUGUUGAUGAGAGCAUUCAGGCGACUGGUUGCUGCCAUCCAUUUGGGAUUAAGAAGGGUGAAUUACUCUAAGGGAUCAACGGCCUAAAACCAACAACACCGAACAUCAACAUGUUGACGGUGACCUGUCAGAGACGGCAUCCCAAAUGGAACACUAUAUAGUGCAUAGGUCCUGGUCAACAGUAGUGUACUAUAUAGGGAAUAGGGUGCAUGGGCCCUGUUCAACAGUAGUGCACUAUAUAGAGAAUAGGGUGCAUGGGCCCUGGUAAAAAGUAGUGUACUAUAUAGGGAAUAGGGUGCCUGGGUCCUGGUCAACAGUAGUGUACUAUAUAGGGAAUAGGGUGCCUGGGUCCUGGUCAACAGUAGUGUACUAUAUAGGGAAUAGGGUGCCAUUUGGGAUGUAUCCUGGACAACGGCUGUGUUCGUUUUCCUUCUUCACGUUCUGCUGUUUCUCUUCACACGUCUCCUCUCUCACGUCCAAUGAGGUUGUGUUUUAAGAUGUACACACUGUUUCAGUGAGCCUAAUACACAUUUAUAUUGCUUUGGAAAACACAUCUCGUCAUGGUAUACAGUAAGCUUCAAUAGGUAACAUGUUUGGCAUUUCAGAUCAGUACUGUAGGGGGUAUGACUGGAGAAGAUGGCUCGAGGUAUCUCAACAGUAGGGGGUAUGACUGGAGAAGAUGGCUCGAGGUAUCUCAACAGUAGGGGGUAUGACUGUGGAGAAGAUGGCUCCAGGUAUCUCAACAGUAGGAAGUAGGACUGGAGAAGAUGGCUCCAGGUACCUCUACAGUAGGAAGUAGGACUGGAGAAGAUGGCUCCAGAUACCUCUACAGUAGGGGGUAGGACUGUGAAGAAGAUGGCUCCAGGUACUUCUACAGUAUGGAGUAGGACUGUGGAGAAGAUGGCUCCAAGUACCUCUACAGUAGGUAUGCUUUAGUAUACUUCCCUGUGGAAGUCAUCCUAUAAAUAUAGUUCUGGUAUAAUGACAUCCUGUGACCUCUGACCCCAUGGUGCUUCCCUCUUCUUUCUGAUUGGAUGUUGAUGUUUGUGUGUCUGAUGAGCUAAUAACAGAAGCCUGCAUAGUCGGUCCCAUAGAGCAGGCAGGAGGACCGGGAGACGGACAGACUGACAGCUGCUUGGAGUCCAAAAAUAAAAAGUAGUAUCUUGUGUCCCAAACGGCACCCUAUUCCCUAUGUAGUGCACUACUUUAGACUAGAGCCCUAUGGGACCCUGGUCUAAAGUAGUGCCCUACAUAGGGAAUAGUGUGUCGUUUUGGUUCUUGUUCUAAAGCCUAAGUGAUUCAUCUGUAGUAGUACAUGCAGUCCAAUGUGGUUGUUCCUCGUCUCUCUCUACAGUAAACGGUCUUAAAUCUUCAUGCCCAGCUUGGCUUUCUGUGGAAAAACAAUACGUUAAAUGUUCAGAUAUGCUUUAAACAGUGAUAAAGACUCAAUCAAGUAAAAGUCCAUGUGUAUAUAGUGGCC